UUGUCGAAACCUGCAUGGCAGAACAACCCGUGAACCCGUAUCUAAUCUGGGAAGGCAUCGGACGGGUCUUUGCCCGUUUGUUACUUUCCAUGCUGGGGUAUGGACCGGUUGUUCUCUCGGGGACACCGGUUCACAUCCCUAGCAAAACAACGAACCCCGGCGCGAACCGCGCCAAGGAAAUUGAACAAAGAGAUCACACAUGUUGGCCCCGUUCGCGGGAUUCCACAAGUGUUUGAAUCUUGAAUAAUAACAAAACGACUCUCGGCAACGGAUAUCUAGGCUCUCGCAUCGAUGAAGAACGUAGCAAAAUGCGAUACUUGGUGUGAAUUGCAGAAUCCCGUGAACCAUCGAGUUUUUGAACGCAAGUUGCGCCCAAAGCCAUUCGGCCGAGGGCACGUCUGCCUGGGCGUCUCACAAAGCGUCGCUCCCCCCAUCGCCCUACGGGUGACGGUGCGUCGAGCGGAUAUUGGCUCCCCGUUUGCAUUUGCAUGCGGUCGGCCUAAAAACGAGUCCCGGCGAUCGACGUCGCGGCAAAUGGUGGUUGCAAAACUGUUGCAUUUUGUCGUUCGCGUCACGAUCGCAAUCGGAAGACUCCUCGACCCUGUAGCUCCAUUUGAUUGGAGCCUCGAUCGCGACCCCA
This 640-nucleotide ribosomal RNA is filed under the name Primula sinensis. Its description in RNAcentral is "eukaryotic LSU rRNA". The stretch from base 257 to 412 matches the Rfam family "5.8S ribosomal RNA". Lineage: Eukaryota; Viridiplantae; Streptophyta; Magnoliopsida; Ericales; Primulaceae. The record is from RNAcentral.